GCCAUUAUGGUAUAUUGGUUUGUGUGCUGGACUAUGAUUCUGGAGAUCAGGGUUCAAAUCCCUGCCAAGCCA
Phrynosoma platyrhinos (Desert horned lizard) is the source of this 72-nucleotide non-coding RNA. NCBI's taxonomy places the organism in Eukaryota, Metazoa, Chordata, Lepidosauria, Squamata, Phrynosomatidae. The record is from the annotation of a GenBank genome assembly.